UUCUGCUAAAUACAUAAACAUAAACAUAAAACAUUCUCAGGUCUCCGGUAGCCAUAGAGAAAAAUUCAAAGACCUAUCAGACCUCUGCCUAAAAGGGUGUCAGGAAAAUCUCCGUCAGACAAAAAGGUCUCAGGAAAAACUCUGUCAGACAUCAGAAAUAAAUAUUUUUUCUGACACUUUUCCUAAGUCCUUUUUGUCUGAUGGAGGUUUUCCAGAGACCCUUUUUUCCUGACAGACUUUUUCCUAAUUAAAUGAUAAAUUACCUGCACUUGUAUAACGCCUUUCAGAGUCAGAGGACUCCAAAGCACUUUACACUAUAGUGCAGGGGUGUCAAACUCAUUUUAGCUCAGGGGCCACAUUGAGGGAAAUCUAGUCCCAAGUGGGCCGGACCGGUAAAUAAAAAAAAAAACUUCAGAUUGUUUUCUUUGUUUUAAUACAAUCAAUAUAAAACAAAGUUGGAGUCUGAGGACAGUGUAGUACAAGUACAACACCUGAAGUGUACUUGAAAAUUUGAAAAAAAAAAAAACAAAUAAUAAUAAUAAAAAUCAACAAAUAAAAAAAACAUUCCUUAGUGAUUCAAAGAGCUUACAGAUCACAUGGUUAGAUCAGUUUCAUGCAGCACUUAAAGUAUAUUUGACUCAUUUUACUUUACAUCAUUUAGCUUUCACCAGCACAUCAAUAUCAGAAGUCACAUCCUGAGUGGCGGUGUUGUGUGACGGGGUGAGUACUCCCUCUUCUCCACAACAUCUUUGUAAGACUGUCAUUCCAGGAGAGGGCACUCACCAGCUGUGGGGCAUUACCGAUCAGCGGCAGCUGCAGAUCCUCUAAUCAACCGCAGCAGAGCUCUAUUUAAGAGGAGAGGGAACCACUUCACAUCGCUGGAUGAUUAACUACUCACGGAUACUUGGAAUCGCUGAACCACAGAUGGAUGUACCUACCUGGAAGUCACCAUAACCCGCCUGGAUUACACACUCAAGGUUCACCUCUCCUCCAGCUUCACUUGCCCUCUGCCGCCAUCAUCUGGCUCCCUCUCCUGGACGUACCCCGUCACACCGUUUGCCCUCCCUGCUGGCUUUUGGACUCUUGCCGACUACUUCACACUUGGAUAUCUCCAGGACACUUUUAGUUAGGGUUAAUAAAUCAUUGUUUGAACUUUC
This is a non-coding RNA of Nothobranchius furzeri (turquoise killifish), 1157 nucleotides long. Lineage: Eukaryota; Metazoa; Chordata; Actinopteri; Cyprinodontiformes; Nothobranchiidae. The record is from RefSeq and is a predicted model, not a curated record.